RNAcentral lists this ribosomal RNA (253 nucleotides) under uncultured bacterium. RNAcentral's name for it is "partial 16S ribosomal RNA". It matches the Rfam family "Bacterial small subunit ribosomal RNA", at positions 524 to 776 of the family's 1533-position model. The record is from RNAcentral.
GACAGAGGGUGCAAACGUUGCUCGGAAUUACUGGGCGUAAAGCGCGUGUAGGCGGACUGGUGUGUCGGAUGUGAAAUCCCCAGGCUCAACCUGGGAACUGCAUUCGAAACUGCCAGCCUUGAGUGGUGGAGGGGGAAGUGGAAUUCCUGGUGUAGAGGUGAAAUUCGUAGAUAUCAGGAGGAACACCAGUGGCGAAGGCGGCUUCCUGGACACCAACUGACGCUGAGACGCGAAAGCGUGGGGAGCAAACAGG